AUUGAACGCUGGCGGCAUGCCUAACACAUGCAAGUCGAACGGCAGCGCAGGCUUCGCUUUCUCGGAGGGUGGGCAACGGGCGGGUGAGUGAUGGGUACGUCGCCAGCUGUUGUGGCGAGGGCGACAACGGCGGGAUAAUUACACUACUACAUCAGACGGUCAACGAGGGGGAUCAAGAGUCCUUGCGACCUUGGCCGAACCGAUGGCGGGUUGCCGGAUUAGUUAGUUGGUGGGUUAAAGGCCCACCAAGCCGACGAUCCGUAGCUAGUCUGAGAGGAUGACCAGCCACACUGGAGCUGAGACACGGCCCAGACUCCUACGGGAGGCAGCAGUGGGGAAUUUUGGACAAUGGGGGCAAGCCUGAUCCAGCCAUGCCGCGUGGGGGAAGAAGGCCUUCGGGUUGUAAACCCCUUUUGUUGGGAAAGAAAAGCUGUAGGCUAAUACCCCGCUGGUAUGACGGUACCGAAAGAAUAAGCACCGGCUAACUACGUG
Molecule: ribosomal RNA, 492 nt
Filed under: uncultured bacterium
Lineage: Bacteria
Description: partial 16S ribosomal RNA
Rfam family: Bacterial small subunit ribosomal RNA
Source: RNAcentral